RNAcentral lists this ribosomal RNA (468 nucleotides) under uncultured bacterium. RNAcentral's name for it is "partial 16S ribosomal RNA". It matches the Rfam family "Bacterial small subunit ribosomal RNA", at positions 28 to 507 of the family's 1533-position model. The record is from RNAcentral.
GACGAACGCUGGCGGCGUGCUUAACACAUGCAAGUCGAACGGAAAGGCCCUGCUUUUGUGGGGUGCUCGAGUGGCGAACGGGUGAGUAAAACGUGUGUAACCUGCCCUUGUCUUUGGGGUAACUUCAGGAAACUGGGGCUAAUACCGGAUAGGAGCUCCUGCUGCAUGGUGGGGGUUGGAAAGUUUCGGCGGUUGGGGAUGGACUCGCGGCUUAUCAGCUUGUUGGUGGGGUAGUGGCUUACCAAGGCUUUGACGGGUAGCCGGCCUGAGAGGGUGACCAGCCACAUUGGGACUGAGAGACGGCCCAGACUCCUACGGGAGGCAGCAGUGGAGAAUAUUGCACAAUGGGCGGAAGCCUGAUGCAGCAACGCCGCGUGCGGGAUGACGGCCUUCGGGUUGUAAACCGCUUUCGCCUGUGACGAAGCGUGAGUGACGGUAAUGGGUAAAGAAGCAACGGCUAACUACGUG